Molecule: non-coding RNA, 201 nt
Organism: Cinara cedri
Lineage: Eukaryota; Metazoa; Arthropoda; Insecta; Hemiptera; Aphididae
Source: the annotation of a GenBank genome assembly
CUGUAUUUUUAAUCGAAUGAGGGGGGAUGAUAUAUAACCUCUAAAGCCAUCCUCUCACGUGCGUGUUACUGCCUUCGAAUGAUUAACGUCUUUGAUCCGUGACUAUUGUUGCUUAAGUCGUGUUGCCUAAAAUGUUCCCACCGUGGUCUUCUCUAUAAUUUUUAUCUUUCCCAUUUGAUCCGAGCAUUUCAAUCGAGUCUC